UUAAUUCUGACCCAAAAUAAAAUCCCAAGUUCAAAACCUUAGAGGCCCUUCCUUCUUCCUAACUCUAACGCCCCUAAGAGAACCUUAACCAGCCGCCUGCCAUGCUCUUCUCAAACAACCAACUUAACACCCCUCAUACCAGCAACCAAACGGACAUAAACAUCCACCAUCCAUGAAAAGGCCCCAUUUUCGGCCACUACUAGCCAUCAAUGACCCUCUCUGAACCCCAUCUCCUCACACCUUUCACCAGUCGCACUCCCAUCUCUUUAUAGUCGGAAUCCGACAAGAACACACCCACCGACCUUGCUUCUCGUUUUCUUUUAACGAUGUUGCUGUUCUGACAAUAACCACCAUUGAAGUGGUGAUUCCGUCCUCGCAUGUCCAUAGAUAAAAACAGGGGCGAUUUUGGAGACAGUAAAAAGUUGACACAAAUUAGGGGUUCUUCGGACAGAGAGUUGUGUAAAAUGAUUAGGUUCGAUUGAGUUGCUGUUGGUUUCGAGUUUUACUAGUGUCAUUUGAGAUCCGUUUGUCAUUCUGAUUUGGCUUGCGGUCCCUGCUCAAAUUUGUUGCCGUUGUUUUCCAUCUUCAUUUCGAGUUCAAUUAACGGAAUUCUCAUUAGAUUGUAAUCGUGGAAGAUUCAAAUAUAUCGGAAAGCAGUUCAGGUCCAAAUCUUAUCCUAUUUCUUUCUAUCUUGUGGUUGAUUUUAGAUAGUGAGACUUUAUUGCAUAUUUGGUAUGUUGUUUGUUUGCUAAUGUUUAGUUACUACAGUAGAUCUUUUAAGUUGUUCUAGAUGAUGGUUUAAGUUUAAUUGUAUAACUUGAGUUUGUAUCGUUUAAAUGUUAAACAAAGAUUAAGCUAGGAAAUGAAAGUUGUUGUUCAUAAGCUGAUUUGACAAAUUGGGCAGUGGAGUUGGGUAUUAAAAUAAAAGAUGAUUUGAGCUUAAAAUGUUAUUAUUAUGCUUUCACUAAUCGUACGGUAGGAACAUGAUUAGGCCAACAAUACCUGGGUAGGCAAUCUUUCGGAUUUUUGUUAGUUUUGAGGCGAGUGGUUGUUCCCUUUGUUAAAGUUAUCCGGGGAAUGCCCCGAAGGAUUUGUAUAUAUUUUAUUCCGAAGAAUGCCCCGUUGUAUUAUGUAAUUGGAGGCCGAAAGCGAACUCGUAAUAUUUUUAUUCUUAUUUCAUUUUUAUCUUUCUGUUAUUAGGUGGAAACGAUCUUGAGCCUCUUAUGUGUUAAUUUUCCCAUUUCUGUGUUUAUUACCUCAAUUCGAAUAUUUUAAAAGCCGACUAGAUCAAGUAUGCAACUGUUCUAGUUACUGAACUCGGGGAAUACCUAACACCUUCUCCCUGAGUCAAAUGAACCCCCUUAUCUAUAACUCUGGUGCAAACUGGUUUAAGAGUGAAAUGUGUUUCGAAGGAAAAUUAUUAUUUUAAAAAUGGUAACCUGGCACACCGAAACCAAUGUCAGGUGGCGACUCUGAAAAUCCUUUGAAACACAAUCUUUUUGUCACUUUUCAUAAUGGAAAACCCUUUCGAGCUUCAAAAAUCACUUUCAUUAUUGUAAGAGGGUUAGUGGGGUGAAAAAAUGGGUGUGACACCCUCAAGUUUUGGAAUCGAUGAUACGUGACACUCAGGCUGCAAAGACUUGUCACGGAGAAGGGGCCCACGGAGAGGAAGAUAUUUUCCUUUGCUAUUUCUCUGAUGUAGAAGAUUUUACCGGUUUGGGUGAUUUGGACGUACCAAGGAAGAGCUCGAAUGAGGCUUCCUCGAGCUAUAUAUUGACCAACCAAUUCCUGGACCCCAGCGUCGACCCUGAUCGUAAACAACCUCUUAUGAUCUCGAUCCCGGAAGAUACUCAAGUUUUCUCUUCCCUCGUAGGGGUGGAGAGAAAUUUUUAGUGCUUGGUCACCAAAGAGGAUCAGGAAAAAAUGGACGCAGUGGACGUUGCCUUUUUGUUCAACGAGGCCCAGCAUGCUCUGAAUCGGGUAAGUUCAAAGGCCGCUAUAUUUUAUGACUUUGAAUUAUAGGUAUCUCUAACACUUUCUUUCUUUCUCGUAGGCUUCAGUGGCAUCAUGAGGCCUUUUUCCGCAUCCAUGAGGAACGGAAGGCCGAAGUCCAGGAUCUCUCUAAGAAAUGCAAUACUUACAAGCUUCUUAGUGAGAAACUUCAGGUAGACCUGGUGGAGGCUCUAAAUGCGCAUAAAGAGAUGGCUAAUCAGGUAUUCCUAGUUCUUCAUGACAGUGAGGACGAGUUCGAGAUAACAACUAACAAUCAAGGUCCUUCAAAGGAAAAUAGAUAAAGUGCAAGAUGAAGCCGAACAUUUCAAAGGAUGUAUGGAUAUUUUGGCGGCACAAAAGGAUACCGUUCAAGCAUAUAUGGAUUCUGCCAAGUCACAGCUUUGAUAUGCAUAGGAAAAUGCCUUGGUCCAGGCGAAGAAGGUCGAGGAGCUCGAGUCCAAUUUAGCCAAUUUGGCCAAAGAGCUCGAGGUUGCUAGAUCUGAAGUGGCCUCGGCCAAUAUUAAUGCCAAGCCACCCUCGAGUAGGCCAAGGGCCUGGUUGAUCAUUCGAAGUGGCAGGCUCGAAGGGAUGCUCUCAAGGAGGCCCUUGCUCAAAGUAUCGACAUAUAUGCUGAACUCGAGAUCGCCAAAGCUGAUGAAGCAAAGGCUUAAAAGUUAGCAUUUUCCAAUGAGGAUUCCGAGGAUGUGAGCGGAUCUGGUAGAGAGGACUCUAAGGGCGAAGAAGCUGCUCUAGAAGAAGACUAGGACUUUAAGAUUAGAAGUGUUUCCUUUAAGGCUGUUUUGGCCUUUGUAAAGAGUUCAGAUCGGGCCAUGCCGCCCUUGUAAAUGAUUUUUGAUAUAUAAAAGAUCUUUUCUUUCCCUUUCUGUCUUGUCUUUACUUUAUUUUAUUUAUGCCUUAUGAAAUUGCAUUCAUAGGUUCAAGGUUUAGGCAAUUUUGGACCGAAACCGAACUAGUGUCGAGUGAGUACUUGCUCGAAGUCGAAGUAGGGUAGCCCAUAGGUUUUUAUUAAGUGAGGAUAAUCCCUCGAGCUCAAAAAAAAAGUUUUCCUUAGGCUUUUGUAUUAGGUUGAUGUGGCCUUUGUAAAAAAAACUAGCUUUAUCCCCUUUUUGGCUUAAAAUGUUUAUUGUUAGUUAUACAAAAUUGGUAUGUCUUAGCAUGAAAUAAAGAAUUGUUCGAGAGUUCGAACAAUUUUGUACCCUUUAGGGUUCUCGAGGCUAGAUAUUAUCGGAGCCCUUUGUGAUGUAGCCUUUUUAAAACGGUUUGUGAUAAUAUUUGAAGGCUUGUUUUAUUACGGAAUUCAGACGUCUUCAAACCGUGUUAAUUUGGCCAUAGCCUUUUUAUUUGGGACAUGCCUUUUAGGUCGAUUUUCCCGUUUCACUUCGAGCUCGCCCGAAGUGUCAGUCCCCGAGUAGGGUGGCUGUGGCCUAUAAAAAUCGAGGGUUGCCUUUAAGGUCUUAUGAUCUCAAAGUUUUAAUAAUUCGAUCUCAUUUGUUUUUUGGACGGCAGUCCUUAAGCGUGGGGUCAGUUUUUCUAACUUCUGUUAUGAUCGGCCCUUAAGCCUGUUUACACAAUAGAUCGAGUAUGAAAUUGUAGAAAAAUUUUCUAAGGCAUGAGAUAUCGGCAAGGAAAAAUACUUCUUUCAAUAGAUGAUUAUACAUGUGUACAUGUUUGAUGUUAGGGCUCGAGUAACCUAUACGGGCACGGUUCAUUCGACUGUUUGGCCCUUACAAAAUUACCUAUUGAGACCCCAUUGUUACGAAGAAAUUUCCUUGCAAUAAUUCUGACACUCGAGGGUAAUGUCCCCCAGUAUUCGAGGUUGAUUGUAAAGAAGAGUCGGAUGCUGUUGAAUUGUUCAAAGUUAGCACCAUCAAUAGUUGCAUUGUCAAAAACCUCACCGGAAAAUCCAAUUGGGACAAAACCAAUCUAAGGGAAAAAGAGUGCAACGCGUGCUUUCAGACUUAAAAACUUCGAACUGAAGGAUCCAUCGUCGUUCCUAAUCGAAAACUUGCAAUUGGUUAGUUCAAAAUAUAAACGAAAAUAGAGAAGGUCGUACCUUAGCAGUACUAUCACUUUAUGAGUGAUACAUUCUAAUUUUUUGGUAGUUGCUCGCCAUUCAUCGUGCCGAGUUUGUAGGAUCCCUUUCCGAUAAUAUCGGGGACCUGAUAUGGUCCCUCCUAAUUCACACCAAAUUUACCUUCAUUUGGGUUUCGAGUAUUGAGGGUGACCUUUAUUAGCACCAAGUCCCCUAUUUUAAAGUGUCGAAGAUUGAUUCUUCGAUUAUAGUACCUUUCGAUCCGCUACUUUUGUGCGGCCAAUAGAACGAGGGUGGCCUCGUAUCUUUCAUCCAACAAUUCUAGGCUUGUGUUUAUAGCCUCAUUAUUUGAUUCUUCAAUCGCAUAUCAAAAUCUAAGGCUAGGUUCCUUGACCUCAACCGUGAUAAGAGUUUUGGCACCACAGACCAAAAAGAACGGUGUUGCCCCGGUACUGGAUUUCAAUGUCGUGGUAUGCCCAAAAAAACCACAAGCAAUAUCUCUUUAUUUUUCCUUAGUGUCAGUCAAUCUUUUCUUAAGAUUUUGAAUGAUGGUUUUGUUGGUUGAUUCGACUUGUCCGUUCCCACUGGAAUGGUAUGGCGUUGAUAGAAUCCUUUUAGUCUUGUGAUCCUCGAGAAAUUUUGUCACUUUGCUGCCGUGGAAUUGCUUACCGUUGUCACAUACGAUCUCGGCAGGCAUCCUGAAUCGGCAUAUAAUAUGGUCCCAAAUGAAGUCUAUGACUUCUUUUUCUUUGUCUUUCUCGAAAGCCUAUACUUCAACCCACUUAGAAAAAUAAUCAGUCAUAAAUAAAAUAAACUGAGCUUUACCUAGGGCCGAAGGUAGAAGGCCGACGAUGUCCAUACCUAUUUCAUGAAUGGCCAUGGGGAUAAGACCGAAUGGAGUUGUUCCCCGAGCUGGUGAAUCAAUGACGCAUGCCUUUGACAUUUAUCGCACUUUCGAACGAAAUCUUUUGUAUCGUUUUCCAUAUCAGCCUAAUAGUACCCUGCUCUGAUAACUUUGUGAACCAGUAAUUCGGCACCGGAGUGGUUCCCACAAGUGACUUCGUGAAUUUCCUUUAGGACAUAGUCGGUGUCUCCUAGUCCCAAACAUAUCGCUAAUGGCCUAUCGAACAUCCUCCUAAAUAACGUUUCAUCAUCGGCCAAAGUGAACCGCGUUGCCUCGGUGCGUAGAUUCCUCGACUCCUUCGGAUCUGUCAGGAGUUUCCCGUUCUUUAGGUAUUCAAUGUACUUGUUCCUCCAAUCCCAUGUCAAACUUCUAGAGUUUAUUUUGGCGUGCCUUCUUCGAUUACUGAUCGAUGUCGCUAUUUUGUUCCUAAAGUAAGUGUUGUAAGGUCCAUUGUUUAAAUCGAUGUAAAGUUACCUGUAGUUUGUCCAAGUAUCUUUGCAUUCGAUCUUCUCGAACUUUGAAAGUUAUGUUCACUUAGUUUACCACAAGUAGGGAAUCGCAUUUGGCCUCGAUGACCUCUUCUCCCAAACUUUUAGCCAGCUCGAGACCUGCAAUCAUGGACUCAUACUCGGCCUCAUUGUAAUCAACUUCGAAGUAUUGAUAGACUAUCUAAUUAUGUUACCCGUGGGUGGAUUCAAAAUGAUGCCUAGCCUGGACCCUUUCACAUUCGAAGCACCGUCCGUGAAGAGGGUCCACACCCCCGAUGAUGUACCAGAUUUUAAUAGCAGUUCCUUUUUUAGGCUGGCUUAAAGUGAACCACGAAGUCCGCCAAGAUAUGGGACUUGAUGGUUGUUCGGGGUUGAUACUCAAUAUCGUACCUGUUGAGUUCCACGGCCCAUUUGGCCAAACACCCCAAAAUUUCAGGUUUAUGCAAAAUAUUAUGAAGGAGAUAGGUAGUUACAACACAUAUUGGGUGACAUUGGAAAUAUGGUUUUAAUUUCCUAGAGGCGCUUAUUAAAGCACGCGCUAACUUUUCUAAGUGAGGAUACCUAGUUUCUGCCUCGCUUAAGGCCCGACUAACAUAGUAAACAGGGAAUUGCAUACAUUUUUCUUCUCGAACUAGGACCCCACUUACCGCUAUUUUCGAGACCGCCAAGUAUAAAUAGAGUUGCUCGUCCGCUUUCAGGGUGUGAAGCAGUGGAGGGAUUGACAAGUAUAGUUUUAGUUCUUCUAAGGCUUGUUGACAUUCCGGGGUCCAUGCAAAGUUGCUCUUCUUCUUAAGCGGUGAGAAGAACUGAUGACUUCUAUUUGAGGACCUCGAGAUGAAUCGCCGUAGGGCGGCUAUGCACCCGGUCUGCCUCUGCACGCCCUUCACAUUAUCCACGACUUUGGUAUCCUCGAUAGCUUUAAUUUUAUCGGGGUUGAUCUCGAUCCCUCGAUUAGACACCAUGAAGCCAAGAAACUUGCCCGAGCCGACCCCGAAUGCACACUUUUCUGGGUUGAGUUUUAUGUUGUACCUCCUUAGUAUUUUGAAAGUCUCCUGCAAAUAUUUCAAAUGGUCCUGUGCUCGUAGGGAAUUAACUAGCAUGUCAUCAAUAUAAGCUUCCAUAGACUUCCCUAUUUGUUCUUAGAAUAUUCGAUUUACUAGGCAUUGAUAAGUUGUACCAGCAUUUUUUGGUCCGAACGACAUUAAGUUAUAACAAUAGGUGUCGUAUUUAGUGAUAAGUGAAGUAUUUUCCUAAUCCUCCGGGUUCAUCUGUAUCUGGUUGUACCCGGAGUGGGCAUCGAAAAAACUGAGAAUCUCGUGGCCGGCCGUGACAUUAUUCAUGUGAUCGAUGUUCGACAAAGGAAAAGAAUCCUUAGGGAAGGCCUUGUUCAAGUCCUUAUAGUCUAUGCACAUUCAAAGUUUAUUUCCUUUCUUAGGACUACCACUACAUUUGCUAACCAUUCGGAAUAUUUUACUUUUCGAAUGGAACCUAUUUUGAAAAUUUUGGUUACCUCGUCCUUGAUGAAUGCAUGCUUAACCUCAGACUAGGCCUUCUCUUUUGCUUUACCAGAUGGAACUUUGGCUCCAGGCUUAAUCGAUGGGUAGUGAUCUCCGGUGAGAUCCCUGUAAUAUAUCGAGACGGGACCAAGCAAAACAAUCUAUGUUAUCUAAAGGAAUUGAAUAAGUUUUUUCCAAAGCUUGGGAGUUAACCCCGUGCCUAGGUUAUACCUUUCGAUCGGCAGAUGCUCGAUCAGUAUGAUUUGCUCCAGCUCUUCGACCGUCGACUAUGUUGCGUCAGAAUCAUCAGGGAUUAUGAAAGUUCGAGGUAUCAUAUAAUCAUCAUCCUCAAAAGUUUCUUGCUUCUCUAAUCAGGCUGAGGUUGGUGACUGUGGUUGCUAUUUGACUUCCUAUUUUCCCUUUGAAUUCGAUCCCUUUGCAGAAGAAAAUGUUGACACCGGUACCACUUCAUCGAUUCUUAACAUCUCCUUGGUGGAGGGCUGCUCUCCGUAUACCGUUUUGAUUCCCUCAGAUGUCGGGAACUUUAUAAUUUGGUGAAGGGUUGAGGGUACUUCCCUUAUGUUCUGGAUCCAAGGCCUCCAGAGCAGGGCAUUGUACCUCAUGUCACUCUCAAUUACAUAGAAUUUUGUGUCCUGUAUGGUUCCGGCCACGUUCAUCGGCAAGACAAUUUCCCCUUUGGUGGUUUCACUUUCCAUGUUGAAGCCAUUAAGCACUCGAGCUGCGGGCACAAUUUGAUCUUGUAGGCCGAGACCCUUGAUCGAAUAAUGUUGGCCAAGCUACCUAGAUCGAUCAACACACAUUUAACUUGAAUUUUAUUCAUAAGGAUAGAUAUUACUAGUGCGUCGUUGUGAGGUUGUUCGAUCCCUUCUGCAUCCUCGUCAUUGAAAGACAUGGUCUCCUCCAGUAAGUAGUCCCGAGUCUAUUUUUCUCUGGUGAUUGUCACCUUGGUGCGUUUGAAUACCGGUCCUUGGGGAACAUCGACCCCUCCAACGAUCAUGUGAAUCUUGUGUUGUGGCUCUUCUUGCUCGUUCUAUCUGUUCGAAUCUUUGUUUUUGAAGUGGUUCUUGGCUCGAUGACUUAAGAAUUCUCAAAGGUGCCCCUCGUUGAACAAUCGGGCAACUUCUUUUCUUAGUUGUCUGCAAUCUUCAGUUUUAUGGCCAUGGGUGCCAUGAUACUUGACUAUUUGGUUUGGGUUUCUCUUGGUCGGAUCAGUUUGUAGAGGUCGAGGCCACCUGGUAUCUUUGAUAUGCCCAAUGGACGAUACUAUGGCGGAAGCAUCUAUGCUAAAGUUAUAUUCCUACAAUCGAGGUGCUUCUUCAGACCCGACAUCUCUAUCGAAAUAACUCUUGCUCAUGAGCACUCGGGUUCUUUAUCCCCGAUCAUUCCUUCUAUCAUUCCACGGAGUUAUGCCCAGACCCGCUAUUUAUCUCUCCCGUAUGGAUGAUAUCGGUCUCUGUUCAAUCAUGAUUUCUGAUCGACAUCCCUUUUAACUCUGUCCAUGGGCUUGUUGGGAUAAAUUGAACUGAUUGGAUCCCUUAGUUGAUCGUCUUCGACCCUAAUCUUUGAUGGAUAGCGAUUAUGUACAUCAGACCAAGUGACGACUGGAUAUUCGAUCAAAUUCUGCUUUAGUUGUUAUGAAGCUAUGGAACUCCGUUCGUUGGGACCUUGGGUGGAGGCUUGAACAACCUAAUCGUCGGUGACCGAUGGCAAAUCCAUCAGUUCCAUUUGAAAUCGAGAUACGAAUUCCCUAAGCAUCUUGUUGUCUUUGUGCCUUGCCUUGAGUAGGUCCGACUUUCUAGUUGAAAUCUUAAUAGCUCCAGCGUGCGCCUUCACAAAAGAAUCUGCAAGCAUAACAAACGAAUCAAUAGAAUUAGGUGGCAAAUUAUGGUACCAUAUCAUGGCACCGUUUGAUAAAGUUUCUCCAAAUUUCUUCAGCAACACGGAUUCAAUCUCGUCAUCUUCCAAGUCAUUUCCCUUAAUGGAGCACGUAUAUGAGGAGACGUGUUCGUUUAGAUCUGUAGUCCAUUUAUACUUUGGAAUCUCGACCAUACGGAACUUCUUUGGGAUUGGCUUCAGAGCCGCACUUGGGGGGAAAUGUUUUUGGACAAACUUUUUGGAAUCAAGUCCUUUAAAUACUGGUGAUUCCCCCGGGAUCUGAUUGACCCUAGAGUUAUAAGUUUCCACCUUCUUAUCAUUUUCCUCGAUCUUCUUUUCCCCUGACUCGAUUCUCUUUGUCAAUUCCUCGAGGAUUUUUACGAUAGUAGGAUUAGACUUUGAUUCUCCUUCAUUCGAUCUCUUCAGCACCGAUUCGGCUCUAUGAACAAUUUCUUGUGAUGGCUCGAUUUCGAUCCUGCUUGGUGCACAAUUCUGAUUUUGGAGUUGUGUUAUUGCCGCUUGUUGGGUCUACAACAUCUCGAAUAUCAUUCGAAGGCUAAUUCCCACUGCUCUGUGCGUUCUGAUCGGUUGUUCGAGCAUCUCUGCGGACAUUAUUCUUAGGGUCGACGCCCAAAUUCCCAUUAAUGACAAUAUGGGAGCUGACGUCGAUUGGGUCCAUGGCCGAAGCUCCAUCGGGGUUAACUAGAGGUACUCCAUUUUCUGGAGUGGCUAUAUUUUCGUUCUUGCCAUGAAAACCAAGGCCAUUGUCUGUGUGUGUGGGUGCUUCUUGGGAGUUUGACAUGUUGAUCCUAGAAUCAAAGACACUUCAAAGAACAAACAUAAAAUAAUGUGUGUUACGAAAAUUGUACCAGGAAAUUACUAUUAUCCUUAGCCUUAUGGUGAGCGCCAAACUGUUUACCCUUAAAAUCGGAUAACAAUUAAACUUAUAAGUGACUUUAAGGAUACGUAAUUUCACCUAACAUCAGUUGAUAAAUAUGACGAUUAAUAGUAGAGAUAAAUAACAAAAUAAAGCAAACCAGUAUUGAAAUGCAAUUCAAACCUCGAGCUAGGUCGCCCUUGAACUGAGUGAAUGAGAGUAGAGUUAGGAAACAAACUAAUGAACAAGACAAUAUAAGAGAAAAAGAGUAUUGUAUUGUUUUGAUAUGCGUUAAUGUCCGAUGAUUACAAAUGGUUAAGACCCUAUUUAUAUAGUAGAAGAAUCCUAUUUACGGUAUAAUCCUAAUUAUAGAAGGAAAUCCCAUGAUUAGCUAAACAACCACUCUUGAUUUGAUAUGUUUCGAGAUUUUCGCCAUGAUCUUCGACCAGUUACAGAUAUCUCACCUUUCCGUUAUCAUGCUAUCUUCGGUCUUUCUCGAUGUCUAUCCCGUUCGACCUCGAUUAUUACUGAUCUCGAUCGCGACAAGUACCUCGAUUCUCGAGCUCGAUACUUUAUCCUCAUGUCUCUGUCUAAUAUGCUAUGGGGUUGAUCUUCGAUCCAUCCCUCUGGUCUAGGUUAAUCAGUCAAAUCGGGUGUGUCAGGUUUUAACCGUAUACAGAACUUUUGUAUGUGUGUCAAUAGUGUGUUAAAAUGAAAAAAAUUCCCCCUUUAUAUAAUAUGAGAAUUUCAAUCCUAGUACAAGUCUAAAUAAGGUAAAAAAUUUCGUUUUCUGAAUGUCGACCUGCAAUUGCUAUCGGGCGGGAUUUGCACCAUAAUAUCCGAUUGAAGGUGAAUAUUACGGGUCCCUACUUUCCAUGCUCAACUGUUUCUCUUUUUCUCGUGGUCUCGAAAGUUUACUUGGUUCGAGUCCUUUGUUUAGUCGUGCCUGAUUCCAAAUACAUCGUUCGUCCCUUUCGAGCUCCGACACGAGGGACCUUUCGCCUUCGCUCGAAGUUACAUUGGACUGUGCUUCCUUCUCGUUUCUUUAUUGGGGAAUCAGGGAUAAUAUUGUCCUCGAUUUUACCCGUACACAAUAUUAUUCACGUUCUGGGCAAGGUGGGUGCUAAGUUACCACAUCAAAUGAGAUGUGAAUAUUUAAUCGUUUUAUAUGGGUUUUGGCUAAUUCUCACCUCAUGAGGCUAGCUUUUAGAGUUGAGUUAGGCCUAGAUCCAUUUCUUUUUCAUUAAAUUUCUCGAGGCUAAUUAAAAUUGAAAACUUUAUGCCACUUUACCAAUUUUAUAUGUAACACUAUUACUCCACAUGCUAAUUGGUGAAUUAAACAAUUAGCCAAGAGUGUAACACUCACACACAUAUAGAGACAACUGCUACUUUUCAAAAGAACAACAUUUUCUGGUAGAAUUAAUAAAUUUCAAGAAAUUCUAAUCUUGUUACCGUAAUCCAACAUCUAUAGUUGAACUUUCUGAUGAGACAAAUUUCUUAGCGUCAAUUGAAAAUUAUUGAUUUUUAAAGUAACAAAUAACUUCUUUUUGGGUACUUUAUAACAACAAUAACAACAACAACCCAGUAUAAUCCCACUUGGUGGGGUCUGAGGAGGGUAGUGUGUACGCAGACCUUACCCCUACCCUAGGGUAAAGAGACUGUUUCCAAAUAGACUUCUGACAUCCUUCCCUCCAAGAACUUCCCACCUUGCUCUUGGGGAGACUCGAACUCACAACCUCUCGGUUGGAAGUGGGGGUUGCUUACCAUCAGAGCAACCCCUUUUUGGGUACUUUAUAAGAGAGAAAAAAAAGAAA
RNAcentral lists this long non-coding RNA (11520 nucleotides) under Nicotiana tabacum (common tobacco). RNAcentral describes it as "long non-coding RNA (NTAB_LNC018899)". Lineage: Eukaryota; Viridiplantae; Streptophyta; Magnoliopsida; Solanales; Solanaceae. The record is from RNAcentral.